ACACGUAGGGAGCGAGCGUUGUCCGGAAUUACUGGGUGUAAAGGGUGCGUAGGCGGGACGGCAAGUCAGAUGUGAAAUACCGGGGCUCAACCCCGGGGCUGCAUUUGAAACUGUCGUUCUUGAGGGAGGUAGAGGUAAGCGGAAUUCCUAGUGUAGCGGUGAAAUGCGUAGAUAUUAGGAGGAACACCAGUGGCGAAGGCGAUCUACUGGACGAUAACUGACGCUGAGGCGCGAAAGCGUGGGGAGCAAACAGGAUUAGAUACCCUGGUAGUCCACGUCGUAAACGAUGAAUACUAGGUGUGGGUGGGACUGACCCCAUCCGUGCCGCAGCUAACGCAAUAAGUAUUCCACCUGGGGAGUACGGCCGCAAGGCUGAAACUCAAAUGAAUUGACGGGG
Molecule: ribosomal RNA, 397 nt
Filed under: uncultured bacterium
Lineage: Bacteria
Description: partial 16S ribosomal RNA
Rfam family: Bacterial small subunit ribosomal RNA
Source: RNAcentral